GACGAACGCUGGCGGCGUGCCUAAUACAUGCAAGUAGAACGCUGAAGAGAGGAGCUUGCUCUUCUUGGAUGAGUUGCGAACGGGUGAGUAACGCGUAGGUAACCUGCCUUGUAGCGGGGGAUAACUAUUGGAAACGAUAGCUAAUACCGCAUAACAAUGGAUGACCCAUGUCAUUUAUUUGAAAGGGGCAAAUGCUCCACUACAAGAUGGACCUGCGUUGUAUUAGCUAGUAGGUGAGGUAACGGCUCACCUAGGCGACGAUACAUAGCCGACCUGAGAGGGUGAUCGGCCACACUGGGACUGAGACACGGCCCAGACUCCUACGGGAGGCAGCAGUAGGGAAUCUUCGGCAAUGGGGGCAACCCUGACCGAGCAACGCCGCGUGAGUGAAGAAGGUUUUCGGAUCGUAAAGCUCUGUUGUAAGUCAAGAACGAGUGUGAGAGUGGAAAGUUCACACUGUGACGGUAGCAUACCAGAAAGGGACGGCUAACUACGUG
Molecule: ribosomal RNA, 497 nt
Filed under: uncultured bacterium
Lineage: Bacteria
Description: partial 16S ribosomal RNA
Rfam family: Bacterial small subunit ribosomal RNA
Source: RNAcentral